Molecule: ribosomal RNA, 294 nt
Filed under: Triticum aestivum (bread wheat)
Lineage: Eukaryota; Viridiplantae; Streptophyta; Magnoliopsida; Poales; Poaceae
Description: partial small subunit ribosomal RNA
Source: RNAcentral
AUGCGGCAGCUUCGGCUCAUCACCAACAUGAGGGCUCAUAAUGACACAUGGUUUGCAAAUUACUUGCUAAGGGUCGGCAAUGGCACUGAGGAAGUCGACGAUCAAGGCAACAUACUACUCCCUGAAGACAUUUGUCUGCCGUCUACAGGCGAGGUUGACGACCUGGAGAAGCUUAUUCACCACGUGUUUCCGAGUCUAGAUGACAACAUGUAUGAUUCAAAUUACAUGACAUCUCGAGCAAUCCUUUCCAUGACAAACGACAAUGUCGACAAGAUAAACAUCCGCAUGAUAGAG